GUAUCCCCAGCAUUUCCAGUAUUGGUACUCCUUCAAAGUUUAAUAGGAUAUGGCCGAAUAUUUCUUCCCUUGAGGUUUCUAACCCAAAACAAGUUGCUCCCAAAUUAGCUUUGUCAACAGUUUCUUCUGUUCAAGUUGCAAACCACAAGCGAGGUAGGAAUUCUUGGAUUCAUACAGUGAUCCCAUGGUGUUAUGUGUUGUGAGACAUUGCACUGUAUGAAUCUGGAAUAUCUGUGAAGUGUACCCAUCAGCUUAU
Long non-coding RNA from Rattus rattus (black rat), 256 nucleotides. RefSeq lists it as uncharacterized. NCBI's taxonomy places the organism in Eukaryota, Metazoa, Chordata, Mammalia, Rodentia, Muridae. The transcript is spliced from 3 exons. The record is from RefSeq and is a predicted model, not a curated record.